Molecule: long non-coding RNA, 3327 nt
Organism: Zootermopsis nevadensis
Lineage: Eukaryota; Metazoa; Arthropoda; Insecta; Blattodea; Termopsidae
Source: RefSeq, a predicted model, not a curated record
GCGAUUACAGGCAUACCUCUUCAUAGACUCAUGAGAUGAACGCCGCGGGUUGAGAGGGAAGAUGUCGGUAUCGAUUUUGUCGUAGAGCUGUCAGUGUUGGCGGUUGAAACAUUUAAAGUGAAUCUGGCUCGAAAACAUGCAUUUACGGUUGAACCAUAUUAACGGAGAUUGGUGUUUAAAAAUCGUUGUUCAACGGGAUAUUUGACAUUAAUAACUUGCAUUAAAGACGAAAUUAUUGUUCUUCGAUCAGACAAACUGGGUGUUAGAUGUGUUUAUAGUGACGUAAGGAAAAUGGGGUCGACGUUUACAUUCCUCCUAGGGUAUGAUAUAUCUGGACACAACUAAUAUUACAAAAUGAAGAUAGAAGAAAUUUGAUGGCAAAUAAAAGUAAUACUAAAACUGUUGAUUCACAAUUUUGGUCAUGAUGACAGGUUCAAAUGUGAGAGGUUAAGAAAAACCCAUUGCACAGAUGAUGGAGGUGACAAAGACCUCUGAAAUGUUAGUAAACUUCUAUCAGACAACACAGUGCUAAAGCCCUGAAGACAACUAUCUUUAAGAGGACAUUAAAUAAAAUGUCCCAGUAGAUAAAAAUGUUAGUGUGUGUAUAUUAACACUCCAGUAAACAAUUUAAGUUGUUAAUUGAACCUGCGGCAUACUGUUUCUUCUAUGAAACAAUAAAACUUUCAGCCUACAGUUGGAAACAGCCAGCUGUGAAAUAUUGGCUACGGAUUCUGCAGAUGAGCAAGCAACAAUUUUAACCCCUGAGGAUGCUAUGAAUGGCACAUAACCAACUUAAAUUUUGAGAGCUGGGCAAAGAAACUGAGUGCAGAAUUAGACAAAAUAGGGCUGGGACGUACUCGGCAACACCCGCAGGAGAAUGGUGUGAGUAUGACAUGUAAUGAAAUUAAAGAAUUAUGGAACGAUAGAAUUUUUUUGCAGAUAUAAGAGAAAAGAGGUCAUUAAUAUCUUAUUGUGAUAUGAAAAUGGAGUGGGCUAUGGUAGAAUAUAUACAUUCUGUUAUACAAGAAAUGAGAGAAGUGGGAGCACACAGUUUCAGACUGAUACCUGGAAGCUGAGAGGGAUGAGCAAAGAAUGUGACAAAGGGAGAUCUCUCUGGGUAACAAGGAAGCUAAUGUCAUAAAUAUACCAUUCAAAUUUUCAGAAGUGUAAGGAAUUUCUUUUAUAAAAUAGCUUAUUAUUAAUGAAGAGGUGGUUUAUAAGAGAUUCAUAAAUGGUAGAUUUAAGAAAUAUAGAAAAAUACCAGUAUACAACCACAUGUAAAUGGGAGGAUAAAUUUAACAAUAUAUAAUGGGAAAUAGGGUUUCCACCUGACAUGACACUAGCCAGCUACGUUACAAGUCUGAAACAUAACCUUUAUAAGACAGACUGAUCGUUCAAUAUUUAAAAUCUUGCAUUAACAAACCAUGUAGCCUAUAAAUAUCUAUUAAAAAUAGGAAACCCGAAGAGAAUAAAAUAUUACUAAGUAUUGUGUUAAUUUUAUUCUACUUUAUCCAUCAAACAGAUGUUACUAAAAACCAAAUUUUUCAGAAGAUGGUUCUACUUCUGCCUUCAGAUGAGAGGACAAAAGCUUAAACCCUGAAAAUUGAAGAAGAACCAACUUCUGAAAUGUUGUGGAUUCUAAUAAUACCCAGAUAAUGCAUAAAGCAAAAGAGUGUGCCACCAUCACCAGAGGCCUUCAAAUUUUGGUUAAUAUUAUAUAUUAAAAAGAAAAAAAUGUACCUCUCUAUCUUGGCUAUUACACCUGAUUAAUGAUGUGGGGCCUAGAGGAGACUGUUUCCAAAUGAUCUCCUAACACACACCUAUGUUUCCCAGUGGCACACCCUAGUAACUAUGGUGACCCACAAAAGGCUUUAAAAAUGUAAUUCUAAAAUGACUGCUACAUAUCUAAAGGCAUAUGGGCAGCCGCCUCACGACUCGACUACCAGUGAUCAGGUGGUGAACAAUAAUGAAGACAAUUACUCCAAUGGAUACACAAACUGAUCAUCAAAUUGAAACAUGGAUGAAAAGAUUUCAAUUUGUAACCUCAGAACACAUGAAGACGAACAAGAAAUGUCACUCACUGAAAAUUUACUCUCUUUUUAUUUUACUUCAGAGACGAUCAUAGUUACAUGACCUAUAUUUUAGUCACCAAAAACAGAAGUUUCAUUCAGUUUCUAGCAAAUAGUCCUGCAAACACUGUAUCUUUUCCAGUUAUUGGUUCCUCACCACUUCCCUUGCACACUCCACUGCAGGAAAAAGGUGGAGUAUUUGCUUUAUGGGGUACCUGCUUUCUAGGGAGUACUACAAACUGAAGUUCCCAUUGAUAAAACUAAUUCACUCUGGUUAUACUGACAAUCCUAAUGUGACUACUCAGAAAAUUAAAUAAUUCAAUAAUUUUAUAAGAUAAUAUGUCAACUGUCUUUUCAGUACCAUCUAGAUAAACUAUUAAAUACCUUAAUUAGCAAUAAUUUUCUACUCAUCUGAAUAUGUAUUACAAAUGCUGAACUUAAAUAACUUACAUGCCAGUGGAUUUAAUGUCAUAACCCCAUUCAAGUACAGAAUUUUGGGAAUCAUACUGUGUACUAAUUAAAUUUUUUAAGGUAAUCAAGUAUGACCAGUCUUUGCAAGAUCACUAAAAUAUCAUGGUACUACCAAAAUCACUAACAUUCAGGAUAUGUUUAAACAGUAAAAAUAGAAUUUUUUAAUAUGAUGUCAUUUACAGAUAUAGGCUAGAUGACCAGAUUUUAAUACUGGCAAGGCAGGGUUUUUCUCUAUGCCACAACAUUCACACUGGCUCUGGGGCCUACCAACUUCCUGUCCAAAGGGUAACACAGUUCUAUCCUUAGAAUACAGAAGCUGAGGAACGAAGAUCACCACUUACUUUCAUCAUGUGCUGAGGUUAAGAAGCUAUAAUCAACUUCCCCAUUGGCGAGUGCACUACAAAGGACCAGAUUUGUUACGCAACAGCCCUGAGGAUGAGAGCAGAGAUUGCUGUUGAAAAGUUGGCAGACGAUAUGGUUUAUUCACCAUUCAGCCACCUGAUGCGGCUUGUAACGCAAGAGUCUUUCAUCAACUUCCCCCAUAUGUCUGCAUAGUGCAGUGUAAAAUUAAGUUGCUUUUAUGCAUGACUACAGAUGUUAACUUUAUAUAUGCAAUACAGUUUGCAUCCUGUCGAUCAGAAAAUGUCAAGUCUUUAAAAAGGAAUGUCUGGUAAGAUUUCACUUCAAGUCUCUAUUCUGUACUUUUGCUAGCAACAAACCUGGCAGUUUUGUAUAGUUACUAGUGAAUGUUUCUUUGUUUAAAAUUAAACUGUUUAUGGAAACUGAA